RNAcentral lists this non-coding RNA (27 nucleotides) under Mus musculus (house mouse). Lineage: Eukaryota; Metazoa; Chordata; Mammalia; Rodentia; Muridae. The record is from RNAcentral.
UGAUCAGUCCUGACUUUUCCCGGAUUC